AGAUUUUAAAUCUCUGUAUGUAUAUCUCUAACUUUUAUUUCAAAUAUACAGGAUACAUUAGUGUGUGGGAAGAGGGUGUAUAUUUGAUGUUUACAUAAGAAGUGGUAUCCAAGAUGGGUACCGGUUGAAUUGUGACCUUAUGUGUCAUUUAUUACAACAGGAGUGAGCCUUUCAGGUGAGCAGAUUGUUUGAGGGGAGUUAGAGUCCUUACAUAUGUCAUCAGCACAACAUUUUCACAGACUGCUGGGCAGAAUUUAGACAGCUUGAGGAAGUGAUGACAAUGGCUGGAAGAAGAGUAGAAAGGGAGAGACACAGGUGAGAAUGACAGACAUUCAGGAAGUGGGUCAGCAGGAGCAAGAUAUGGCACCACAAAAUCAAGAUCAACAGGAUAAUAGAGUGUCAAGCUGUAUUUAAAACUUACGAACAUGCAAAACUAUUCAAUAUAUAGUUUAAUAGUACAGAAAGUUUAAGUCAAGCUACAAAGAAAGGCAGUUGACUAAUGAACAUAUAAUUCAGGAGAGUGGCUACCGAGGACGUGGUUGUUUGGUGAAGGGGGUGGUGGCCCACAGAAGGAGGCUAAGAACUUUGGCCUACCUGUCAGUCCUGCCCUGCGUGUCACCUCAGCCUGGAAGUCCAUAGGACUGUGAUGAAGAUGACUGCUUGCAUUUUCUGAAUCACUUUGUCGAUGAGACAUGCAUCCUAUUAGAUCUAACAAAGCUUCACAGAAAGGUUGUUUUGAAGUUGACACUGAGGAAGAUAUAAGUGCUCUAGGAUCAGUAUGUGAGGCUGCCACAAACAUGCUAUAGUCUGCACAUUCUUGCAGAGAGGUUGCAGAGUCUGCUUGGGAGAGAAGCCUCAAAAACAUGGCUGGUGUCUUGGCAGAGUUUGCUCUGGCCCCCAGGAGGGUGUACAAACAGCCUUCAUGAGAAGGUGACUUGCUGGCCACUCUUAACCACUAGAAGAAACUGAUGCCAUGGAACUUUGAAAAAUCAGAAAGCAAUUCCACAAAAGAAGAACCUCUGAAGAUAGUAGAGCCCAAUGAAGAUAAAUGACAUCGCCCAUAGGAGGGAACAGUGGUAUCAACCUAAAGGGGCUCACUGCCCUAUGUGCUGGAGGCCAAUACUAUGACAAUGGGUUUUUGAGAAAAUAAAAGCUUUGCAUUGAGAUUCAACCCCUAAAGAGACAGGAGUCAAUCUCAUCUGUGUCCCUGUGU
RNAcentral lists this long non-coding RNA (1213 nucleotides) under Homo sapiens (human). Its description in RNAcentral is "non-protein coding lnc-TASP1-5:1". The record is from RNAcentral. Lineage: Eukaryota; Metazoa; Chordata; Mammalia; Primates; Hominidae.